AACAUCUGAGCAAACAAAAACCAUAGAUCAAUGGCAGAGCAAGAGAAAGAAGAGAGAAUGAGAGAAAACAAUCCCAGAGUGGAAUAGGAGGCCUGCUCACAAAGGGGGUUCGUCUCCUCUGUAAUUUCCAGGUGUCAGCUGUCAUCCACAUCCUGAAGGUCAUCCAAAGGUCAUGUGUUGUUAUAAAGGGUUGAUGUAUUGCUGUGACAAACGCAUGACCAAAAGCUACCUGGGCAGGAAAGGAACUCUUUGCCUUGUCCUGAUCACAGUCCAUCACUCAGGGAAGCCAGGGCAGGUACUCAAGGCAGGAACCCGGAGGUUGGAAUUUAAGCAGAGGCCAAGAAGGAACAUUGAUUACUGGCUUGGUCCUCAUGGCUUGCUCACUUUGCUUUCUUAUACAAUCCAAGACUGCCAAGGGGAGACAUUGACCCCAGUGAGCUGGACCCUCCCACAUUAGCAAUUUAUCAGGGCAAUGCCCCACAGACUUGCAGUCUGCAGGCCAAUCAGUAAGAGACAUUAGCUCAAGUGGGAUUCCCUCUUCCCAGCUUGUGUUACUUUGACAAAAAAAAAUCUAUCUAACACAGUUGGUCUCCAGAAGAGUAAGUACUAUUGGGACGACCUUAGAAGAAGUGAGGUCAUUGCAUGUGAAGGGGUUGCAGCCUCUUCCUUCUCCUUUGCAUCUUGGCCAGGAGAUGAGCAGUUUUUCUGGUCACAUAUUUCCGUUGUGAUGUGCUGUGUUGCCUCAGGCCCUAACAAGGAGCUUAUCUGGCCAUAAACUUUCAAAACCUUGAGAAACAAACAAACCAAUCAACCAACCUUUUUUUCUUUUUGUGUUGAUCAUUAGUAUUUGUUAUCGGGAUGGAAACAUUAAUACAGUGCCUCUGCAGGACCUACUGAGCAGUGGUUGUUAGGCCAGCUUGCUCCUCGAUGGAUGUUGGGACAGGCGUUGAUGAGAUGACUCUUUCCCGACCUCUAGCUCACUCUCCUUUGACCCUGUCCCCUUCAUUUUGUGCAUCUCUGAUGACUCAUCGUAGAACUCUAUGCUUGCCAUAGAUUCAGGGUCUUGAAGGGUUUGGUUGUUUUCCUUUAUUGGUUAAGGAAAUAUGAAGGCAAAACAAACUUUCUCUCAGAUGAAACAAGCUUAGAACUUCACCCGUCACAGUCAGUCUGGCUGCUCUUGGAUGUCACAAACUCCUGUCAUUCCGAGUCCUAUCUCAUUGGGGUCUAGGAGAGAAGAAAAGGAAGAGGUUUUUCAAUGUGAAAUGGCCCCCAGAGUCCAGGGUUUGAAGGCUUGGCAUCCAGCUGAUGGAACUGAUAUGGAAGGCUGUGACUCUUUCAAUGACGUAUUUUUACUUUUUAUUUAUGUGCAUGUUCAUAUGUGUGUCAUACAUGUGCAGAAGCUGCUGGAGGCAGGCGGGGGGGAUGGGGUGUGGUCAGAUCCCUGAGAGCUAUGGUGGUUGUAAGUGUGAGUGCUUGGAAUCAAACUCAGGUCCUCUUGAGGAGCAACAAGGUAAGAACAGAGGUCUUCUAGCCCAGCCCACUUUACGUCUUCUGUUUCCGGACUGUAGAUGCAGCCACACCUUCCUGGCUGUAAUGGACUGUACCAUCUUUAACUAUGAGCCAAAACACACCCUUCCUUCCUCAGAUGCCUUUUGGUCAGGCAAGGAGAAAAAUAUUACAGAAGGAUGAGGUCAAAAGGUCACUAACCUUUUGUAUUUGCAAUCUAAUAGCCAUGUUUAAAGAAAUACGACUGAUUUAAGAAGUGGCGUCUCACUUAAACUAUUCAAAUGCCAUUUUAGUACACAAUCAGCAUAAAGCUAUCACUUUACAUUUUCUUUGUAGUAAGUCCUUGAAUUUUUGUUUGCUUGAUUGUUUGGUUUUGUGUUUUUAAAUGUUUAAGUUUUAUUCUGUGUGCAUGUAUGAAUGCGCACCAUGUGUGUACAGGAGCCUGCAGAGGUCAAAUCACUGGAUCCCCUGGGAACUGGAGUUGCAGAUGGUUGCUGGGAACCAAGCCCAGGUCUUCCCCAAGAGCACUAAGUGAGUCAUCUUUGUAGUCACCUGUUUGUUUCUGAGACAGGAUCUUGCUGCAUGUCCUUGAAUAUCCUGGAACUCAACUUUGUAAAUCAGGCUGACCUGGAACUCUCCAGAGACCUGCAUACCUGUUCCAGGAGUGCUGGGAUUUAAGGCACCUUCCAGUUCAAGCCCAGUGACUUCUACACAACUCCCUAGGAGCCUUCAGAGUGUAAACAACAAUGAACUUCAUUUGGACGUCCCUUGAGCACAGAGGAUUAUUCUGGAGUGCAGGGCUUGAACGGCAGAGCCAGGAAGGCACCACCCAUGGGUUCACCGCGCUUUCAGGGAUUUUCGUAGAGAUUGGUUUCUGCCCCUGCUGCUGGCCUCCUCUCUUUCUGAGCAUGCAGUCUCCAACAAGAACACAAACACAGUGGGUGCCUCCUGGAUGGAAGGAGACUGGAACACCCUUUAGGGAGCGAGCCUAGCAGUUCCAUAGAAGCGGGGUUAAGAGGACUUCAGCUAAAAACGUGUUUGAACUUGAAAUCCCAAUAGAAAGGUGGUUUUUUUAUUUUCACAGUGAACUUUGUACAACAUAUUCUCAUUGUGAGAGGAAAAAGAAGAACGGGUUAAGAGAUAGCUCAGUCAGUAACACUGAAUGAUCUACGUUCGAUCCUCAGAACCUACUUAAAAAUGGAAAAAGAAACAGCUGGAUACAGAUGUGUGUGCUUGUUCUCUAAGUCCUAGGGGAGCAGAGAUGCGAUUCCUGACGCUACCUGGCCACCCAGCCUAGGCUAUCCAGCAAACACUGAGAGAGACUGUGUUUCAAAAUAGAAGGAUAAUGGACAGUGCUGGAAGACUGAAGCCAAGAUUGCUGUCUUGCCCACAGGCACAUGUAUGAGACCUGCUUCUAGCUCCUGCCGUUGUGAUUUCUCUGCAGUCAUCAGUUGUAGCAUGGAAAUGUAAGCUAAAUCAUUUCCCCCUGUA
Long non-coding RNA from Mesocricetus auratus (golden hamster), 2997 nucleotides. RefSeq lists it as uncharacterized. The transcript has 3 exons. Lineage: Eukaryota; Metazoa; Chordata; Mammalia; Rodentia; Cricetidae. The record is from RefSeq and is a predicted model, not a curated record.